GCCGCCACCGCCUCAGGGAAGAGGAAGGAGGCCGCGGCUUCGCGUCCCGCCUCUCGCCUGGCUGGCCGUGGGGGGCCUGGACGCAGUGGCCUCCCGAAUCUCCCAGGACCCUAAUAUCGCCCGAGGAUGCUGGGAGGAACGCUGAGCCGACCUCUCCGUUAGGCUGAAGAUUGCACAAACCAUGCUAAUGGCCAGCAUGGAUGGAGGGAGCGUGUGAGAUGUGUGGGGCAGCGUGCUGCAUCUCAGCCAACUCCAGGAGGAAGCAUGCUCAUGGCAAUACCCGGAGUCUCCACUGCAAGACCAGAGUGACGGAGGCAGCAGAGCUCCUCAGCAGGCCAGGAGUCUCCAGAGGCACUGCCGAAUGUCUAAGAAGCAACCUCAUUGUAUUCCCAAGACCUGGGAAUCCAGGUCUCGCAGAUACGAUGAUACAAUCUAUAGCCAGGACAUCUCUUCAUGUGUAGUUUUCAAUGAAUACUAGGAUAAGCAACUAUCCCAGUCUUCCCAGGAUUGAGGGGCUUCUCCAGAUGCUGCACUUCUGGUGCUAAAAAUGAGAAACUGAAAUGAAUUAGUCACCCAAGGAAUGCUGACCCUGUGCUAUAUGAUCACAUUUACUCUUUAAAGCAAUGCUUUGAGGCCAAGCUAUAAAUAAAGGGUGGACUGACCUUGUCAACUGUUAAAUUGGAGCCGUGGUGCGUUGCCUAGAACAUUGCGGAUGACCCCGAGCAGCACAGCAGAUCAACGGCUGAGAAAGAGCUCAUUCAGCUCAUCUAACUAGGAUGCUGUCCUGCCAGAGCCCUGGGGGUUCUCGUCUCCUGGGGCAAAAGCAGCAUGCAACCCUUAUGAACCCAUCUUGGAAGGCAUUCGGGGAGCCCAAGACAAGACCAUUGGGAGCCUCAGGGUCACUUGUGGGGGUCUCUGUGCUGGACGGCUGUACCUCUCAUGAAAUGGACAACUGACCAUAAGAAGGAGGGUUACACAGAAACCAGCCCUUUGGAAAGACUGGCUCUACCUAUGAUACCAACGAGCCCUCAUGCUGCCCCUCCCUUACAGUUUUGACACAGGACUGACCAGCAUUCCUUCCAGAUGAGAGACCGCUGGCCACAGAGUGGCUUUGGCCAGUCUACGGACACUGCACACAGAGGGCCUCCAUGUCCUCUGCUUUACCUUUUGAUGUUUAGAGCCUACUUGUAAUACAUUUAAAUGUUAAGUUGCCUCUCCAAAGUGAGCAGGGAAGCACGUUGCAUGCCUGUUAGCUACUACACAUGCCCUUGCCUCCCUUUUGUGAGUUUCCAUCGCUCCUCCUAUGACCUGCUGAACAUGUAUACUUAGCCAACCUGCUCAGCGUACAUUCCAGUUCCCUUGACCCCCUCUCCUGAAGUACUUGUUAUGGAGGUUACACUUCCCAGCCUGCAAGAUGGCCAGCCUGCAGGCUGCGAUGCUUUAUGAGAAAUAAAGCUCUUUUACCAAAUUUAUGAACCUCAUUAUUCUUCAGCUGCAGAUUUCAGUUUUUCAUGUUUUCAUUUCAGUUUUUCAUGUACAGUGACUAAACAUAUUCAUUGAAUUGAUGACCUGCAUUAGCUAGUUUGGUUAAUGAUUUCCUAUAACAAACUUUUGUGAAGUUUAUGGUAUUUUCAUUGAUGUAACUAAUUUGUCUCAAAUCCACAAGACAUUUAAAUCUUACCCUUAAUACGUUCAUGAGAUUCUUGCAUCUUCAUUGAUUAGAUUUUCCAAUAAUACAAUGGCCUGUUCAUGAUUUUGACUCAGAAUGUAUUUGUUCUUUUUGAUGGAUUACUUUUUGAAUUAUCUGGACACUUUUUGGUUAAAAUUGGUCAUCUAUAUCAGAAUAAUUUCUAUUAAU
This is a long non-coding RNA of Homo sapiens (human), 1858 nucleotides long. Ensembl annotates it as GMDS divergent transcript. Its record names the gene GMDS-DT. Lineage: Eukaryota; Metazoa; Chordata; Mammalia; Primates; Hominidae. The record is from Ensembl.